UACGUAGGUGGCGAGCGUUAUCCGGAUUAAUUGGGCGUAAAGGGUGCGCAGGCGGUUUAUUAAGUCUAAGAUAAAAGCCCGAAGCUUAACUUCGGUUUGUUUUAGAAACUGGUAGGCUAGAGUAUGGUAGAGGCAAAUGGAAUUCCUAGUGUAGCGGUGGAAUGCGUAGAUAUUAGGAGGAACACCAGUGGCGAAGGCGAUUUGCUGGGCCAUUACUGACGCUCAUGCACGAAAGCGUGGGGAGCAAAUA
This 250-nucleotide ribosomal RNA is filed under the name uncultured prokaryote. RNAcentral describes it as "partial 16S ribosomal RNA". It matches the Rfam family "Bacterial small subunit ribosomal RNA", at positions 524 to 774 of the family's 1533-position model. The record is from RNAcentral.